RNAcentral lists this ribosomal RNA (506 nucleotides) under uncultured bacterium. RNAcentral describes it as "partial 16S ribosomal RNA". It matches the Rfam family "Bacterial small subunit ribosomal RNA", at positions 29 to 523 of the family's 1533-position model. The record is from RNAcentral.
AGUGAACGCUGGCGGUAGGCCUAACACAUGCAAGUCGAACGGCAGCACAGAGGAGCUUGCUCCUUGGGUGGCGAGUGGCGGACGGGUGAGGAAUACAUCGGAAUCUACUCUGUCGUGGGGGAUAACGUAGGGAAACUUACGCUAAUACCGCAUACGACCUACGGGUGAAAGCAGGGGACCUUCGGGCCUUGCGCGAUUGAAUGAGCCGAUGUCGGAUUAGCUAGUUGGCGGGGUAAAGGCCCACCAAGGCGACGAUCCGUAGCUGGUCUGAGAGGAUGAGCAGCCACACUGGAACUGAGACACGGUCCAGACUCCUACGGGAGGCAGCGGUGGGGAAUAUUGGACAAUGGGCGCAAGCCUGAUCCAGCCAUACCGCGUGGGUGAAGAAGGCCUUCGGGUUGUAAAGCCCUUUUGUUGGGAAAGAAAUCCAGCUGGCUAAUACCCGGUUGGGAUGACGGUACCCAAAGAAUAAGCACCGGCUAACUUCGUGCCAGCCGCCGCGGUAA